AUAGUGAUCCGGUGGUUCUGAAUGGAAGGGCCAUCGCUCAACGGAUAAAAGGUACUCCGGGGAUAACAGGCUGAUACCGCCCAAGAGUUCAUAUCGACGGCGGUGUUUGGCACCUCGAUGUCGGCUCAUCACAUCCUGGGGCUGAAGUAGGUCCCAAGGGUAUGGCUGUUCGCCAUUUAAAGUGGUACGCGAGCUGGGUUUAGAACGUCGUGAGACAGUUCGGUCCCUAUCUGCCGUGGGCGCUGGAGAACUGAGGGGGGCUGCUCCUAGUACGAGAGGACCGGAGUGGACGCAUCACUGGUGUUCGGGUUGUCAUGCCAAUGGCACUGCCCGGUAGCUAAAUGCGGAAGAGAUAAGUGCUGAAAGCAUCUAAGCACGAAACUUGCCCCGAGAUGA
Molecule: ribosomal RNA, 396 nt
Filed under: Shigella flexneri
Lineage: Bacteria; Pseudomonadati; Pseudomonadota; Gammaproteobacteria; Enterobacterales; Enterobacteriaceae
Description: partial 23S ribosomal RNA
Rfam family: Bacterial large subunit ribosomal RNA
Source: RNAcentral